UUCGGGGCCGAUGUCGAUGCUAGUAGAACUAGUAUUUAGUUAAUCAUCAUGCACAUCAAUGGAUGAACUAUCAUAUGGAUAUAACGAUUAUCUAAACAAUUUGCAUUUAUAAAAUAAGUGUAAAUAAUUUAACCAGUGUGGUCAACGUAGGACUGAUUUUCAUGCAAGAUUUAGCAAUUAAUGCUAUCGUUGCUCGUCCAUACCUACAGUGAAAGUACUAUGGUCAUUCAAACCCAUGCCAACAUUAGAAGUUUAAUUUUCUUAGCAAAUUGCUUAUUUAAGUAUAUUUAUAUUUAAAAAAAUGUCUUCUAUUUAUAGAUUUUUAGCCAGGAUAAAUCCAGUGAACACAAAAUGCAGAGGCACAUUUCAGCAGAGCCAUAACAGUGGCAGGAUGGUGCAACGCAAAAACAGGGCCCUGAAUCCACAUGUUCAUCAAAGAAUUCACCAAUUAUGACUGGGUGAAUUAUUAGAGUUGGUGUUUAUCUACAGUUGUUCGAGUUUACAGCAUGCUGAUGACUAUUGUUCUUUUGGUUAAUAAAGAUUGUUUAGCUACAGUUGUUCGACUUUACAGCGUGCUGACGACUAUCACUCUUUCGGUUAAUAAAGAGACUUGGAGGAACCCCAGCCCACACCCAGGAGAAUGCUGCCAAAGAACAAGAGGGCCAUAAUGAUCCUUACACCGAUCAAAUUCCGUCCUCGGGCCAUCCUGACCUUCCUGGUCAACAGCACCGGCAGCAGGCACCGUUCGCCCCACACAAAAUCGUCCAGCGUAAAGGGUCCGUCUUAUAGGCGUCGCAUAAGAUAAAUGUACACACCGCUGGGCAUCGCCAAAGCCACAAAGGUUAAGGCAAGGGUCCAAAAGGCCUUAAAGACUCGAUCAUUCACCGGCAAAUGAUCAAUUGUUGUACAUUUUCAUUGUUGUGUUUGAAAUUUGUUCAGACAUGUAAAUAGUUAAUUGUUCCUGAUUUUGCCUAAAUGUUUGAUGUUUUCAUGUUGUGUUUUUAAAUUGUUCAGAUGUUCAAUUGUUCUAUGAUGUUUCGUGUUCAGUUUUUUUAUUUGAUUCACUUGUAAAUAGUUUAAUUUGAAUCCACUUUAUGUUUAAAUUGCUGUUUGGUUACUUUUUGUUUUAAUAAAU
Molecule: non-coding RNA, 1135 nt
Organism: Misgurnus anguillicaudatus (oriental weatherfish)
Lineage: Eukaryota; Metazoa; Chordata; Actinopteri; Cypriniformes; Cobitidae
Source: RefSeq, a predicted model, not a curated record